This 216-nucleotide ribosomal RNA is filed under the name Glomeromycotina sp. RNAcentral's name for it is "partial small subunit ribosomal RNA". The stretch from base 44 to 216 matches the Rfam family "Eukaryotic small subunit ribosomal RNA", at positions 690 to 864 of the family's 1831-position model. Lineage: Eukaryota; Fungi; Glomeromycota. The record is from RNAcentral.
GGGUCAGUAGGUUGGUCGUGCCACCGGUACGUACUGGUCUCGCUGAUUCCUCCUUCCUGAAGAACCGUAAUGCCAUUAAUCUGGUGUUGCGGGGAAACAGGACUGUUACUUUGAAAAAAUUAGAGUGUUUAAAGCAAGCUAACGCUUGAAUACAUUAGCAUGGAAUAAUGAAAUAGGACGAUCGAUCCUAUUUUGCUGGUUUCUAGGAUUGACGUA